AUGUAAAGAGAAAUUUUAACUAGGUUGAAGAGAAAAAUAUGUCUUUAAUAUUAAUAACUUGUUUAGAAUAAGAAAUUAAGUAGGUGUAUGAAAAAUAAUUUUUGUUCAGGGCUGAUAGUAAUUUUUAGUGAAAAUCAGAGUUUAACUAGAGGGAAAAGUACUGUGAAGGAAAGUAUUAAAGCUUAAGAUAGUAGAAGUGUAAUUUUGUGCCUUGUGUAUCAGAAAAAAUUUAAAUAAUUUAAGUAUUUAAAUAUCUCGAAAUAAAAUAUAGUGAUUUUUAUAAAAUUUUCUUUUUAGAAAAAAAGAAUUUAAUAUAAAAUUAAAAGUGAAAUGCUAGUUGAGUUUUAUGAUAUCUAGUUUUUUUAGAAAAAAUUUAAUUUGAUUUUUAUGAGAAAUGCUUAUAAAAUUAAAUGGUAGGAGGGAAUAGCUUCUUAUGAAAAAAAACAUAAAAUAGUUAGGUAAAAAUUUUAAUUAUAAGUUAGGCUUAGAAGUAGCCAUAUUUAAAAAGUGUUAUAACUGGAUUAUGAUUAUUUAAAAAAUUUGUAAUAACUUUAGGAAGUAUAAAAAAAUUGAUUUUAACAAAUAUAAGUUAAGAUACAAUGAUUUUAUUAGUAGAAUUUAUUAAGAAAGCAGAAAUACAUUAAAAUAAUUAAAAAGGUUUAAAAGUUAGGAAUAUAGAUUAAUAAAAAGGAAUUCAGCAAAAAUUUUCUUUGCCUGUUUAUCAAAAACAUGUCUUUUUGAAAAUAAAAAAAGUCAAGCCUGCCCACUGAGUUGUUUAAGGGCCGCGGUAUUUUGACCGUGCGAAGGUAGCGUAAUCAUUAGGUUUUUAAUUGAAAUCUUGUAUGAAUGGUUAGACAAGAGAAAAUCUGUCUCUUUAUUAAAAAUUGAAUUUAACUUUUAAGUGAAAAGGCUUAAAUAAAUUAGAGGGACGAUAAGACCCUAUAAAGCUUUGAUAUAAAUUAUUAUUUAGUUGAAGUUAGAGUAAAGAUUUUAUAAUAUAUUUUAUUUUAUUGGGGUGAUAAAAGUAAAAUGUUUAUUAACUGCUUUCAUAAUAAGACAAUUAUAGUUGAGGUAGAUUUAUAAAAGAUCCUAAAUAAAGAUUACAAGUUUAAGUUACUUUAGGGAUAACAGCGUUAUUUUUUUUGAGAGUACAUAUCGAAAAGAGAGUUUGCGACCUCGAUGUUGAAUUAAAAUUUCUUUAUAGAAGCAGAAACUAUAAGAGUUGGUCUGUUCGACCUUUAAAAUUUUACAUGAUUUGAGUUCAAACCGGCGUGAGCCAGGUUGGUUUCUAUCUUUUAAUAUAGAAUAAGAUUACUUUAGUACGAAAGGAUUGAGUAGUCAAAAUUUUUUUUAUGUUGAUUAA
Molecule: ribosomal RNA, 1363 nt
Filed under: Euplax sp.
Lineage: Eukaryota; Metazoa; Arthropoda; Malacostraca; Decapoda; Macrophthalmidae
Description: 16S ribosomal RNA
Rfam family: Archaeal large subunit ribosomal RNA (bases 637-1363)
Source: RNAcentral